CCAACAAUGCUAGUUAUCACCUACUCCUGUGAACACAACCACCCUUGGCCACCUCCUUCUAGAUCCCACAACCACCAUAAGAACCACCAUAACUCCUCCUCUCCAAAACACAACACUACCACCAAACCCGAAGUCUCCACAACCCAUCCUGAUAACCCAGAGCCUGAGCAUGAAGAAAAGUUCACGGAUCUUGGAAACGACGGGUCACUCAUAUCUACGACUACAACUUCAGAUGAAUUUUCUUGGUUUGGUGAAAUCGAGACAACCUCUUCAACUAUACUUGAGACACCUUUUUUUGCAGAGGGAGAGGCCGAUGCUGACAUGGCAUCAAUGUUUUUCCCGAUGAGAGAUGAGGAUGAGUCGUUGUUUGCCGAUCUUGGAGAGUUGCCGGAGUGCUCGUCGGUGUUCAGGCAUCAGCGUAGUGGUGUUGGACCACAGGUUCAGAUCUGCUGACGACACGUCGUUUAUUAACGUGUUAUAAAAUUGAAAGGUGUGUGUUUGAUAGCACCACGAGAUAACAAAGAAGAGGAAAGAAACAAUCUUUUUUUUCUUUUUCUUUUUCUUUUUCUUUUUAAUAUUCUUCUUUGCCUUGGAUUUCAGUGUAGUAAGUGAAUAAAACUCCAAUUCUGAAAUCUGUCACGAUCCUCUUGUAAUUAACUAAGCAUAAUAUGCCUUCUCAGAAUGGAUUUUCAUUAAUUUACCCAAAAAAACAAAUGGUGUCCCAAUUAAGAGCUUCGUUGAUAGNNNNNNNNNNNNNNNNNNNNNNNNNNNNNNNNNNNNNNNNNNNNNNNNNNNNNNNNNNNNNNNNNNNNNNNNNNNNNNNNNNNNNNNNNNNNNNNNNNNNAUAAUUGACAUUUUGUUUUUCUAUCGCAGUCAAUGGAGUCUAAUUAAUUCUAUGCAAUUAGUCUAUUAAGCACGAUGUGGCAUCUUUCUGAUGAAACGGUGCCACUUAAACAAAGUCUAUAAGAUUGAAAUGGAGGUUCCACUUAAAGCGGCAACGUUGGGAUUAAUUUAAUUAUUUUUUUCCGUCUCAGAGAGAGUCUCUAACGCCAUAUAAUUAUUAUAGAAAUCUCGUCCUUUUCAAUGAAAAUGUGACCGAACACAAAUUCCAAACGUAUGAGACAGCUAUAAAAUAUCUUUAAUGCCCUCGACCAAAAAAUAUUUAUAACCAUAUAAUAUAAAGUUAAUUUACUCUUUUUUUUAUAUUAAUGUGAGUGUUCGAGCUAACUUGUAUACACCUCAACUAAUUACACGGGUCAUGAAGUUAACGACCAUGUAAGUUUUCUGUAACUCUAAAAUUUAUGAAACUCGAAUUAAUAAACCCUAAAAUAUAAAUUUAAAAUCUAACUAGUUGAAAUACAUCUUAGAUAAAAGAUAAUAAUAAAAGUAUCUCUAACCUCUAUCACAGAGAGCUUCUAUAUGGAGAAUAACAUCAAAAUUAAGCUCGGCAGACCCUAGAUGACAUAGUAUUUUUUUUUUUUUUUGGGAAAAGUGAAGAAGAUUAGAUAGAAAUAGGAGGGUGAAGUUUUACUUCGUAACAAGGUUGUUAUAGUUAAAAUAAUUGAUAUUUCUUGUAUUAUUUUAAAAAACAGGACAAAACUGAAUAAAUUUUAUAUCGCUUAACAUCUGCCGGUGAUUCCAAAUGUCUUUAUUAAAUUCAAGAUGCAAUGUUACCGAGGGACAAAAAUUUAUGUAGGUAUUUAUAUUAGCAAUUUGUUGGUACGCAUGUUACCGACGGACUCACAGACAAAAAUAGUCUAUCGGAAAAACUCUCAUCAGUAAUUUAUGGAUUAUUGAUGAGUCCGUCGAUAAGAAAUAUACUGAUGGAUUUACAGACGGACAAAGCACGCCAAAAAAAAGUAUCAUCUUUAUAUAUCUCGUCGGUAUAUCCAUCGGUAAAAAUAACAUAUCACCGAUAGAAUACCACCUGUAAUUUCAUUAGUGCGUUAAUAGUAGUAGUAAAAUUUGUAGUAAUUCUUUUCCAACUUUCUGGAAUAUACCGACGGAGUUGUCUCAUAGGUAACCUCGUCAAUAAUAUUUUAAAAUUAUUUAAAAAAAACAUAUUGAACAGAAGUAGAAAAUAAUUAAAAUAAAUUUAUUUUAUUAUUUUAAAAUAAGUUACUAUAAAAAUAAAGUAUUUAUUACAAAUUUAAACAUUUGAACGUUCAAAUAUAAUAGAUCUAAAAUAGAGGUGGCACUAGAGGAGGAGGAGGUUGGUCGUCACUGGAACCUUCGGGCCACUUAGAGGGUGCACAUGAACCACUCAUCUAUGAUCUCAUCUCCAUUAUCAAUCGGUGGAGUUCUUCAUAAUUAGCAGUGAGUUGUUCAUAUUUAUCAUUAAAAUGGGUCGUUUGAUCCUAUAUCCGUUGGCCUAACAUCACCGCGAACUUUAGAGUUUGAACGCUCGAAAUUGAUUGCGAGCAUCUAACGAUCAAAACACUACUAGUCGUUUGCAAGUUCUCAGUUGUAGUGUUAGAGAAUUCAUACACCCUAUUUCUAUCGGGCCAUCAGAAAAUCCUGCCUCCAACCACAAAUCUGGAUCAAUAUCUAGAUGGAUCGAAGGAUCAUUCCCGUAAUACGCAUCCUAGAAAAAAAAAAUCAUCAAAUUCAAGGAAAUAAUAACUUAAAAAAACAACAAUAAAUAUGUGAAAAAUGAACAAAAACAUGAGGGAAAAAAAAACUUUGCAAGCUGCUAAAAAAAUCAACUAAAAGGUGACGCUGCAUGCAUCCAAGCAUCAACAUGUUUUGUGGCACGUGGACAAGGUGGCAUGCAUCGAUGUCUGAAAAAAAUGGACUAACGCGUUUGUGGGUGAACUAAUCUUGUCUACUUAUUGAUGAAGGCCAUUAUAUUCAUCGUUAACCAAUGACAGAGAUUUAUAUAUGUUUUUCCUCGUGUUAGUUUGCUUAUUUUCUCUCCUUAUUCACCGCGGUUGUGCUAGUGGUGGUUAUUGAGCACACAGCUAUUAUUAGCUUGAGUAAUGGCGGCUAAUAGAUGUUUAUGGGAGGUUUGUUUCUUAGAUUGUUGACUGGAGUUUCUGGUAUGGAGAUGGCAUGAUUUGAGUAGUGUUUCAGGGUUUUUUGGUACUCGCAUUUGGGUUGGAGCAUGAGUGGUUUUGCUGAUGGUGUUUGCUAAGUUGUGUGGCCAAAUUUUGGCUUCUCAUGGGGAGGUUUUAUGGAUGGCAUUUUGGGGGUUUUGGUGGCUUUUUUUUAUUGUUAUUGGUUGUUCGUGAUGGCGCGUUCGGUGGUAGCAUUAAGGGUUCAGGUGGCCGUUGUGACUAAUAUCGGUGGUGGUUAAGGGGCCAGAGCUAAUAGUUCAGGUGCGUUUCAGGAGGGCUGGUGGUGGUGGUUUUGGAUAGGGAGAUGGAAGGUCGUUUUGAGGAUGUGCUGUGGGGUGGAUUAGGAGUGGUUUUGGAGAUGGAUAACUUAUAUAUUAUCUUAUUUGACUACUAGUUAGUACUCAUUGAUGAAAGCGUUGAAUCAUUAAUAUUAAAAUAAAAAUAUAUUUUGCUAGACUUGAUCAAACAUAAAUAAAAUAAUUUAUUAAAAUAGCAAGUGGAUAAUUUUAAGAGUCAGAGGUAUCAAUUUGAUUUGAUUUUUUAUAUUUCUUACCAGUCAGAUCAAUAGUGGCACCACUAGUGGUACCAAUCGGGUUUCAAUGUGUUUGAUGGGGAUUUUACCGAGGUCUUCCAAGAUUAGACAUUUAAAUCAACCUAGUUAACACUAGAUUAUUCAUAGGUGUUAUGUUAUGGGCAAAGUUAAAUUUUCUUCAAUGUAAUUUUUUUUUAAUAUUAUUAAUAUUUCAAUUUUUUUUACUAAAACGAAAUUUAAAUUAUGUUUGAUUGAUUCGAGUAACUCGAAUGAUUUUACAAAUUUAAAAAUAACUUGAAUAUUUUGUAAAAAUAUAAAUUAACUCAGAAAAAAUUUCAAGGUGAAAUCUUUUCUUUUAAUAUUAAAAUAAUAAUAUUUUGAAUUGAUUUAAAUCAACCAGAGUGUUAAUGUCAUAUUUAUAACCCAAUAUUGAAUGAUAACAUUAAAAAAAAAUUCAAUUAAAAAAAUACAAAAAAACAACCUGAGUCAAUUCAGGUUAAUCUAUUAAGCACUAUUUUCGGGUCAUGAGGCCGGAAUAACUCAAUAAAAAGUAAACGAAACAAAUCAUACAAUCUAAUUCCUAAUUAACCCAAUAUUAAAUGAUACAAUUGAAAAACAAAAUUAAAAAAAAUUUUGAGUUAAAUGGAUUAAUCCGUCAAACUCGUGAUUCGUGUUAUGAGUGUGAUAUAACUCAAUAAAAAACAAGUUUAAUAUUAAAAGAUAAAUUUUUUUAAAAAAAAAAAAUCAACAAAGCACUUGUGUAAAUACAAUGAAAAUAGGGUUUUUACCCUAAAUGUUUUAUUGAAUUAUAUAAUAAUAAUAAUAAUAAUAAUAAUAAUAAUAAUAAUAAUAAUAAUAAUAAUAAUAAUUAAAUCACUAAAUUUUGUAUUGGGUCCUCCAGUCCAAUCCCAAUUAAUCCCACACUACUUCAGCGUGAAAAUUGUGUCAAGAUAUCAAAUGCUCUGCUUCAGCCACCUCUGCUUCAGCCACCUGUCAAAGAGAAUAGAGAAUAUAAUGGUUAGCAAGUUUGUUAAUAUGGUUAGGCAGUUAAUGAAUUUUGUUACAGUUGAGUAGAAAACGUAACCAAGCUUCUCAUCUUCUGUUGAUAUAAAAUGCAUGUAACAGUGCUGGGAACGUAUCAAGUGAAUAAAACACAUAGACAUUUUCUUCUUCCUCUGCAUUACAGCAGCAUCUUUCCCUACUUCUAUUUUGCUUCUUGUUCAUCUCUGUAACAAAUCUUGCUAGCUUUCAUGGUAUCAGAGCUUAGGAUUGUUAGUAUCUUGUGAGCUUGUGAUUUCUCCGCUUCUAAUCUCUGUUUCUGGCGUUAUUAUCGCCAUAUUCAACCAAAAAUUCGAUAAUAAUGAUCUGCCUAUCAUCUGUUUGAUAUAUUGUCAAACUGAAAGACUUCUCUUCAAACACUCUUCUCAAACCUGUGAUUCUCUUCCUCUUCCGUUGCUUGAACUUCAAAAAUGGUAACAACUUCUCAACUACAGAUCAUCCAAUCUCCUAUUACCUCUUUACUUCCUAUAGUUUCAACAGCAGUAACCGUUAAAUUGGAUGACACAAAUUACCUCAUCUGGAACUUUCAAAUGCAAAUUCUACUGGAGAGUCAUGGUAUUUUAGGAUUUGUUGAUGGAUCAACAAAGUGUCCACAUUGGUUUGAUGCAGCCUCUGAUGUUGAAGGUGCUGAAACUGAUGAUUACAAAAUUUGGAAAAUGCAUGAUCGGGCAUUGAUGCAGUUGAUUAUUGCUACCCUCUCUUCAACUGCAAUCUCUUACGUUAUUGGAUGUGUUAGCUCUCAUGACAUGUGGAUUCAACUGAAGGAUAGAUUUUCCACAAUCUCCAAGGCACGAAUUUUUCAGAUGAAAAGUGAGCUUCAAACCAUCAAGAAAGGCUCCGAUACUGUGACUCAAUAUUUGCAGAAAAUCAAAGAUGCUCGGGAUCAUCUUUCUACAGCAGGGGUUUAUUUUGAAGAUGAUGACAUUGUCAUCUUAGCUCUCAAUGGUCUUCCUUCUGAUUAUAACACCUUUCGGUGUAUGGUUCGCGGCCGAGACAACGUGUUAUCUCUUAAAGAUUUUCGGUCUCAAUUGCUAGCUGAAGAAGCUACUCUUGAGCAAACUUAUUCUGCUGCUUCGUUUGUUCCUGCAAUGAUGGCUCAACAUCAAGUAUCUCCUGGCAAAGCUCUUGUUCUUGAUGAAGGUAACUCUCAUUCUCAUCCUUCAAGCUCCAAGUCUGCUCCACCUCCUGGUUUCCAUGGAGGAUUUAAUGGUCAUAACAGUGGAUUUCAUGGUUCCAAUGGUGGAUACUUUGGCAAUCGGGGGUCUCACUUUAAGGGACGUGGCAAAGGACGUCAUCAGUAUCAGUUCAGUCCACGUCCUUAUCAGGUUCCACCUACGUCUCACCCUGGUAUUCUUGGUCCUGACAUUGACAUUCCUACAUGUAAAAUUUGCACUAAGAAAGGUCAUGUAGCUGCUGAUUGCUAUCAGCGUCACACUCUGCCUCCUAAUUCUGCCUCUUCCAUUCAAUGUCAAAUUUGUUGGAAAUUUGGGCACACUGUUGUUCAGUGUUAUCAUCGAGGUAAUUUCAGCUAUCAAGGUCGGCCUCCCUCCAGUAAUCUUAGUGCUAUGCAUGCUGUGUUCCCACCUCCUUCUCCUCCAGAACAAUUUUGGGUGGCUGAUACUGGCGCCACCACACAUAUGACCUCUGAUUUGGCUCAACUUAAUCUGGCUGCACCUUUCUCAGGAGCUGAUACUGUUACCACUGUAGGAGGUUCAGGUUUGACCAUUUCUAAUAUUGGUUCCUCUAUUCUGGAUGUUCCUCAUUGCUCCUUACAAUUAAAGCAAGUUUUGCAUGUGCCAAAACUCUCUCAACACUUGUUAUCGGUUCAUAAGCUGUGCAAAGAUAACAACUAUCGUUUUAUUUGUGAUGCUUUUGGUUUUUGGAUUCAGGACAAAAUCACAGGGAAUGUUCUCCUCAAGGGACUGUGUAGAGCUGGGUUAUAUCCUAUUCCUUUCUCUUUUUCGUUUCCUUCACAAUCUCUCUUUCCAAAUAAUCUGGUUUAUUAUCUUGGUAAACAGGUCAACACAAGUCUUUGGCACAAGCGUUUUGGUCAUCCUUCUAACACAGUCACCUCUGCUAUGUUAAAACAAUCCCAGAUUUCUUUCACCUUAGACACAUCCAAACUUGUUUGUACCACUUGUUUAGAAGGUAAACUUGCCAAACUUCCUUUUCCUUAUCCGGCAGUUAAAUCUGUUAAACCUUUAGAGGUCAUUCAUAGUGAUGUUUGGGGGCCUUCUCCCACUGUAUCUGUUGAAGGUUUCAGAUAUUAUGUUAGCUUCAUUGAUGAAUGUACUCGAUUUACUUGGAUUUUUCCAAUGAUCAAUAAAGGAGAGGUUUAUUCCAUUUUUGUUUACUUUCAUACCUUCUUAGUUACUCAAUUCUCUGCUACUCUUCGAGUCUUUCAGAGUGAUAGGGGUGGUGAGUAUCUUAGUAAUAAAUUCAAACAUUACCUCCUUACCAAGGGUAUUAUCCAUCAAAUGUCUUGUCCCUACACUCCGGAACAAAAUGGCCUUGCUGAGCGUAAACAUCGGCAUAUCUUAGAAACAACCAUCACUCUAUUACAAACUGCCCAUUUACCUCCGAAAUUUUGGUUUCAUGCUUGUGCUACUUCCAUUUAUUUGAUUAAUAGAAUGCCCUGUCAAAUUCUUCAACACAACUCACCAUAUUUCCUGCUCUAUGGUUCUCCACCGGUUGUUCAUCAUUUGCGAAUUUUUGGUUGUGCUUGUUUUUCUUUACUCAAGCCUUAUAAUUCUAACAAGCUUCAGCCCAAGACUUCCACUUGUAUUUUUCUGGGGUAUGCAGGUCAGUAUAAGGGGUAUCUUUGUUUUUCUAUUCGCACAAAUCGUCUCUUUGUCACUAGACAUGUUCUAUUUGAUGAAUCCAUGUUUCCUUACUCAUAUGUGCUUCUUGUAUCCCCUUCCACUUCCUCAUCCCCUUGUCUACAUCCCACUAUGUUCCCUCUUAUUUCUCCUCCUACUCCAGCGGCUGUAUCUCAGCCUCUACUGUCUUCCAGUUCCUCUUCUCCGUCUGCACUAUCUCACAGUUCCUCCUCACAGCCUACAAUGUCUCCGCCUCUGCCCAUUCUGUCAUCUACACAGUCCCAUCUCCCUGUUGAUCCUGACUUCCAGCCUGAGAAUCUAUGUGUGGUCUUACCUCUUUCACCACUAAAUCUUCAUCCCAUGACCACCAGGUCUAAGAAUGGUAUCUCCAAAAGAAGGGCUUACUCUGCCUCUGUCCAGUUUGUUGCUUCUUCUCAGGUUGAACCCCAUUCCUUCAAGGCUGCUUCCACCAUUCCUGAAUGGCAGUCUGCUAUGCGGGAGGAGCUUGAUGCUCUUCAUGCCCAAGGUACUUGGGACUUGGUGCCUCUCCCACCUGCCAAGAAUCUGGUUGGCUGUAAAUGGGUUUACAGAAUAAAAAAGAAUACGGAUGGUUCUAUCGCUAGGCAUAAAGCUCGGUUGGUGGCCAAGGGUUUCAGUCAAGAGGAAGGUAUUGACUAUAAUGAAACCUUUAGUCCUGUCGUGAAACCUACUACGGUUCGUUUGGUCCUUGCUCUUGCAGCUUAGUUUAACUGGUCUUUACGGCAGCUUGACGUUACCAAUGCCUUUUUGCAUGGUCUUCUGCAUGAGGAGGUUUAUAUGACUCAGCCCCAAGGUUUUGUGAGUAAGCUUCAUCCUUCUGACUUUGUUUGCAGACUCAAGAAGUCGUUAUAUGGCCUUAAACAGGCUCCCCGUGCCUGGAAUGAACGCUUUACCAGUUUUUUACCAAGUUUGGGGUUUCAAGCAUCUCCUGCCGAUCCCUCUUUGUUUGUUCAGCAUUCUUCUCUUGGUGUUGUGAUUUUGCUACUCUAUGUUGAUGAUAUCAUACUUACUGGUAGUCAUGCUUCUCUUCUUUCUUCAGUCAUUGCUGCCUUGACUCAGGAAUUUGAUAUGAAGGAUCUCGGCGGGUUGCAUUAUUUUUUGGGACUGCAGAUCUCUUAUCUCCCUUCCGGUUUGUUUGUGUCCCAGACAGGUUACAUCACUGACUUACUUGGUAGAGUUGAUUUACAGCAUUCCAAAUCUUGUGAUACUCCUUGUCUUCCUCAUCAUCAUUUGCUUAAAGAUGAUGGACAGCCCUACUCUCAUCCUCAACAGUAUCGCAGCAUCGUUGGGGCCUUGCAGUAUCUCACGUUCACAAGGCCUGAUAUUGCCUUCUCUGUGAACCAAGCUUGCCAAUUUAUGCAUAAUCCCAUGCAUUCUCAUGUUGUUGCUGUCAAACGGAUCUUGCGGUAUCUUAAAGGUACCCUUGAUGUUGGUCUUCAUUUUCAGGCUGGUCCUCUUAAUCUCCAAGCUUAUAGUGAUGCUGACUGGGCCGGUGAUCCCAAUGACCGAUGUUCUGUCUCUGGCUCUAUUGUCUUCCUCGGCUCCAGUCCUAUUUCUUGGGCUUCUAAGAAACAACAUACUGUUUCUCGAUCCUCCACUGAGGCUGAGUAUCGCGCUCUCGCGAUUGCUGCUGCUGAACUUGCCUGGAUUCGUCAGCUUCUCUGUGACAUUCACAUUCCUUUACAUAUCCCUCCGAUCAUUCAUUGUGAUAAUAUCUCUGCUAUUUCCCUUGCUUCCAAUCCUGUUUUCCAUUCCAGAAUGAAGCAUCUCCAAAUUGAUUAUCAUUUUGUUCGCGAACGUGUUAUCAAAGGUGAUUUGUUGGUUCAACAUGUCUCUUCUGCUGAUCAAUUUGCCGAUAUUCUCACUAAAGGCCUUUCCACUCCUUUAUUUCGGCAUCAUUGUUCCAAUCUCAUGCUUGGUUCCUCCAAGCAUAUGAUUGUGGGGGAAUGUCAAGAUAUCAAAUGCUCUGCUUCAGCCACCUCUGCUUCAGCCACCUGUCAAAGAGAAUAGAGAAUAUAAUGGUUAGCAAGUUUGUUAAUAUGGUUAGGCAGUUAAUGAAUUCUGUUACAAUUGAGUAGAAAACGUAACCAAGCUUCUCAUCUUCUGUUGAUAUAAAAUGCAUGUAACAGUGCUGGGAACGUAUCAAGUGAAUAAAACACAUAGACAUUUUCUUCUUUCUCUGCAUUACAGCAGCAUCUUUCCCUACUUCUAUUUUGCUUCUUGUUCAUCUCUGUAACAAAUCUUGCUAGCUUUCAAAUUGUGCCUAGAGAAUGGUAAUUUGCACAAUUGGAAUUGCGCAUAUGACCCUCAUAUAUAUAUAUAUAUAUAUAUAUAUAUAUAUAUAUAUAUAUAUAUAUAUAGCUUUGAUCCCAUAUUGCACGAAUCGGGAACCGUCUGCAUAUACAUUCCAUUGGAUAUUCAUUCAACACCUCAAUGCUGCAAGCAAUUUAACUGUUAAAUACACAAAUGUCGAGAGAGCAUGUGCUGGCCGUUAGCUGGGGAGGAGGGCGUUUGGAGAGAUGGAAUUUUAAUAGUGAUGAAAUAGCAGCUCAUGAGGAAGUUUCCGUUUGUCGCAAGGAGAGAAAGCAACCCACACAAAUGAAUAAGCAAAUAAAAUCAGAAGCAAGAAAGUCGCCGUGGUUAAUGGAAGUCAGGGACGGGAACAGUGCAUAGCAACUCGUCGUAAUACAAUAUUUAAGAAAAAAAUAGCAUGGUGAAGAAAUAAGGUCGCUGUCAAUCUGCUCAACGCAUCAAUUAACUCUUAGCUAGAACGUUGAAUUUCGGUGUUCUUGAUGUAACAAUUAGCCAAUGGGCUCUCUCCAUGCCUCUGCUGUGCGAGAGAGACUGGUAGACCUAGCAAUAAAUGACUUAGUCAACAAUGGCAAGGAUUCCGGAAUAAAGUAUAUAUAAAGUAUCCAGAGCCAGGCCAAAUUAGUUUUGAAGCCUGCGUUGAUAGAACCCAGCAAGAUUUAUUUCUUUUAGGAAAAAAGAAAAGGGGAACUCUUCAAACAAGAUGUUUUCUAGAAAUAUUGCAUAUAAUAAUCGUUCGUUGAUUGCAUAAUAAUCAACACAAAUGAUCGGUGACAUAAAGAUGGUAUAUAUUCCGUCUGGUCUCUUUUUUCUCUUCUUUUUUUGUUUAUCAAAGAGAUGUCCUUCUCGAGGAACAGAUCAAACACAAUUAUUUCUUUCAUCACAAGUUUUUUGAGCUAUGGAUGAGAAAUCGGAGUUCUUAGAAAUUAACGAUAAAUUUAUUUUAAAAAAUAAUAUAAAUCUGAGAAGUCGUGCCAGUUGCACCGAUCCUUGUUGUGCAGCAAUUUAAAAAAAAAAAACAAAUUUGUAUUAAAGGGAGUGUUAUUGACGCAACCUUUCAAGAAAUUUUUUUUUUUAAAUUUUUUAUUUACUGGUUGCCGAUUCAUAUGUUUUUAUUCUAAUUUGCAACGAUUCACCACGCGUAAUAAAAAUUUAAUUUAGGAAGAGAGAUUACCUGGAACUUAAUAAGAGAUUUUUUAUUAAUAUUGAGGCCCAUUUAUAAUUUUUCUUGUAGUCUGUUUGGGAAUAUGGUUGCAGUUGUUUUUUAAAGUGUUUUUCAUAUUGAAAUGCAUUAAAAUAAUUUUUUUUUAUUUUUUAAAAAUUAUUUUUAAAAUUAACACAUAAAAACUAUCCAAAAUACACAAAAAAAUUAAUUUUUAAUAAAAAAUAAUUGAAUUUUAAAAAACACGGUUUGCACCGCAUUCUCAGAUGGAAUCAUAAUAAUUAAAAAAAAAAAAAACCGUGAAUAGCUUUUCAACCAUGAUUAAAUUAUUUUUUAUUUUGAGUAGAGAGUCAAAUAAGCCUUUUUCAAUAUAUAUAAAAAAUUAUUUCUUUAUCAAGCUCUUAGUUAGAAUCUCUUUUCAAAUUAAAUUCUUAUUGCAUGUGGGGGUGAUACGAAGCAGUGUAAAUUAUUGAAUAUUUAGCAUACAAAUAUAAAAAUUAUUUUUUUGAAAGAUUGCACCUCUCUGAAUGACACAAACGUUUUUACAAAAUCUUGAUGCCCCAUCGAAAUUAGCGUGACUUUGAUUAAAAAAAAUUAAAAAAAAUAUGUUACAUCAUUGGAAGUGACACUACCUUUUAGAAUAUGCUAUAUUUUCAUUUUGUUUUGCCAAUAUGCUAUUUUCUUAAAUAAAUUUGCUAACCGUGCUAUUUUUUUUUAAAAAUAUAUCUAUAAAAUCGAUAGAAGUGCCAUGACAUUCUUGCUUAAAUUAGAAAGAAUAUAAUAAAUAGAGGUGAUUAUUUUUGAUUCGUUCAGUUUUUAUAUAAAAAAAAAUAACUAAAUAAAAAAAAAAUUUAAAAAUCAAAACCGGUUCAAACCGACUGGUUUCGGUUCUGUUCGGUUUAGGAUAAAAACCGGUUCAAACCGGUUUGGCUCGGUUUUCUCGGUUUUGGAUCGGUUUGUUUCCGGUUUGGCUCGGUUUGUUUUUCCGGUUCGCCUCUGUUUUUCCGGGUUUGGCUCGGAAAAUUGGUUUUUCCGGUUUGACUCGGUUUUUGCUCUGUUUUCCGGUUUAGCUCGGUUUUUUUCCGGUUUUUUUGGUUUGGGUUCGGUUUGGUUCGGUUUUUUUCCUUAUAAAACCGAACCGGCCGGUUUUUAAAAAAAAAAUCGGUUUUUUUUACAGUUCGGUUUUUUCAGUUAUUUUUUUCUAGUGUUUUUGGUUUAAUCAGUUUUUUUCCUCACCCUAAAGAAGGGCUUUAAAAUUCUAACCAGACAGAAAAUAAACUGAGUCAUUUAUGAGAAGGACCUAGUUAUUCAUGGAUAUUUUUAUCUUCUAGAAGAAACUUGUUAGUCAUUAAUUAAUCAAUAAAUUAACAAGGGUAUCAGGAUAAUUUGACCUUAACACAGUUAAUGAAGGUUAUAUGGAGUAAUUAAAUUAAGAUUAAAGAAUUGGUUUUGAUUAAGGAUGGAGUAGGGUGGGGAGGUUAGACUAGUGGCAUUGAAUGAAGGUAAUAUCUAAUUAAUUACUCGUUCAAAUUUGAUGAGAUCAUGGACAUAAAAACAUGAAAUCUUAGUUAAUGGAGGUAAGACUAGUUUUUUUUCCGUAUUUUUUUCUUUUCUUUUGUUUUUCUAAAUCUUUUUUUUUUCUGUUUCAUCUAUAUAUUAUUCUAGCUAUUGAUUUUAUGGUCUUUUUAGUAUAGUUUCAAUGAUUAUUCAAAACAAGAAACCUCAUUAUAUCUCUCUUUUCCUUCAAUGAAGCGAAAGAAAGAUCAAGUACGCUCCAAAAUAAAACUUUCCCUUGAUUGUAGAGGGAGCACAUUUAUUUUCUAUGGCUGUGUACAUUGUGAACUUGAACUUGGGAGUAGUAAAUGAUCAAUUCUAUAAUCGGCCUUAAUUCAAUAAUUGUUAUGGAGCCCAAGAUUUCAAAAACAAUUUCUGUCUCAAUCCAAGUACUUAAUCAUAUAUUAAAGUUUUGUCUGAAGCCUCAAAAAAAAAAAACUAUAAAAUAUGUUUAAUUAGAUGGUUGUUGGGAAAAAAAUAAAAAAUAAAAGGCUAAACAAAAAACAAGAGGAGAAAUGUUAUAAUAUACUAGGGCAAAAAAUGAAGCGUGUUGAUUGGUGGAGCUCCAAUCAAGACAUGGGUUUGGAAUAAUCAAAGCUAGAGGAAGGAAGGGUCGUCAUCAAAUUGCAAUAGAAAACUAAGUUUUGGAUUAUAUUCACAUUAGCUUGCACAACCUCAAUAAUGUAAAUAUCAGAAGCGCAUCUGUCAACAUGGCGGCCAAUUUUUAAAAGGGCUAUCACCUCUCUUUCUCCACCUUCUCCCCCAUUUAUUUUUUCUCUUCAAAUCACCAUCUAAACCCAAUCUCUCUCUCUCUCUCUUCCUUCUUGUUCUCCUCUAUGGUCAUCAUCUUUGCCGGCAUCUGAAUAUCCUCGGUGAUUAAGGGCAUCCAGUAAGUACAGAAAUCAGCUCUCUUGCGGCGGCUGCAAAUUAAGAGCAACAAUGGACAGGAGGUUCAACAUCAACCCUCUGAUCACUGAGCAAGAAGAAAAUGACAAUAGUGCUCAGGAAAGCGGUCCAGAAUCACCUCCUUCUAACGAUAUGAAGAUGCCUUCUACUUCCUCUCCCAAACGAAGGUACUUAAUCUUUACAUAUCCCAUUCAUUAGAAUUAUUCAGAAGAAUUUCGCAGAGUUAGAGAUCAUGGUGUAUGUGUGCUUAGUUGGAGAGAGAAAGAGAGGAAGAAAUGGCAUGUCCGUGGUUGUUUUAUAAGCAUGCACGAUAGAUAUUCGCGCUGAAAACGAAAUAUUUGACCUAAUGGUGUUUGUAUCAGUAAGAAGGCCAUGCAAAAAAGAGUUGUCUCAGUGCCAAUCAAGGACUUAGAAGGCUCAAGGCUGAAGGGCGAAAAUGCUUCACCGCCGUCUGAUUCUUGGGCUUGGAGAAAGUAUGGCCAAAAGCCAAUCAAAGGCUCACCUUACCCCAGGUAACCCUUCCCUCUUCUUCCAAAUCCGAUCACACACAUCUUUCCUUUUUCUUUCAUUGAAGUCUAUCUUGUUUAAAUGCAUUUGGACUGAUUCUUUCUGUUCCAGAAAAAGAAUGAAUGAAAACUCAUCGUAAAAAAAUUAUAGCGACGGAAAUUAUGCUUCCAGAGCAUUUCUUUACUGUAAAUAUAUGUGAUUAGUUGCUGAAUUAUGCAAAUAAAUUUGAUCAAUAUCUUUCAAAUAUAAAAACUGAACUCUAUACAAAUCCAUUCUCUGGCGGCAGUUUCUUCGUUGCCAUAGAUAAUAAGUGGCGAGUUUUUUCAUCGCCACAGAUCUUGCAGGCAUGGUCUUGUAAAUCAAGACAUUGUCCAGACUGCUUUCUGAUUUUGAGCUCUUUUUUUUUUAAUGCGUUNNNNNNNNNNNNNNNNNNNNNNNNNNNNNNNNNNNNNNNNNNNNNNNNNNNNNNNNNNNNNNNNNNNNNNNNNNNNNNNNNNNNNNNNNNNNNNNNNNNNUCCAUGGGUUUUUCUGAUUUUUCCUACUGUCUUUCUCUGUCAGCAAACCCUUUUUUUUAUUACAGUUUUUUAUGAAAAAAUUCAUGAUCAAUUUCUAAAAAUUUUCUAAGAAAAGAAAAAUUCAAACAAAAGAGAACCAAAGUAUAAAAUAAGAAGAAAUUACAUGGCCAAUCUCAAAUUCACGGAAAAAACAAUACUUUUUAUUCACAUAUAUUUCUUUUUCUAAUUUUUCAGUUCCUAUAGUUUUUGAAAUUUUAGUUUUGGUCUAAAAAUUUAUUUUAUUUAUUUUUUAUUUCUUGAAUACGAGAGGGGAUCAAGAGAGAAAGUCACUGGAUUAUGAAAAAAGAGAAAGAAAGUCAUCGAUUGGCUAUAUUCCACAAAUAAAAAAGGUUGAUCUUAUUAUCAAAGGAUUUCGUUUGAUGACAAGAACCCAUUAAGGUGUUUUUGAACCUUCAUCUUGCAUAAAAAAAAGUAGAUUGUAGUCGGUAUAAAGUUUUUUUUAUUGGUUUGAUUUUGUGUUUUUGGACCAUUUUUUGGGUUUGUUAAGUUGAUAAAUUGAUUUUUUUAUGUACUAAAGGAGUUUAUUAGGUGAAAAUAGGUUGAAAAUAGAUUUUUAGAGCAAACAAGCCCCUUGAUUUUCCAACAAUCACUGUUAUGAUUGGAAUUUAAUCAAGCAUACGAUGUGUUAUCUGUCACAACAAAAGACAUGUUGUUUCCUUUAUUCUUUAAUAAAAAAAAGAAAAAAAAUUAAAAAGGUCUAGGUACGCAUGCAAGCCUAUUUAUCUGAGCUUUGUUUUAAAGGCUUGGGUUCAUUGGGCCACCCAGGCCCACACACAAGGUUUUUUUUAGUUUUUUAUUAUAUGUUUAUUUUCUAAUUUCAUCCUUUAACAUUUGAUUGAUUUUGAUUUAGUCUUCAUAAUUUAUUUCAGUUUGUUUUUUAUGGGGCUAUCAUGAUCUGAAAUAAACAUUCCGAUAUUUGGUUAGUGCUCAAUCUUGCAAGCGUUUAUUUUUUUUAUCUUAUAAUUAAAUAAAAAAAAGUUCUAUAAAAAAAAUAUGUUAAACCCAAUAGAGUUUAUGACCUGGAUCAUGGAUUUGGUUGGUUAAGCUGCAAAACCUGUCAAUCCAAUAUGUUAUCGUCUUAAUAUAUUAAGGAAACAAAAUGUCAUCUUGAAUUUUUUUAAUGGUCAGACCAUGUUUUUGCAUGUCUUUCAGGUUAUCUUUGGAUCUGUCAAGUUGGUUGUGUCACGUCGGGGCAACUCCUACACAGUUGAAUUUGAAGCUCAGGCUAGGUAAGGAGUAUGGUUGGGAUGUUACAAGGUUGACCCUAUUGCGUUGAGUGUAAUGACAUUGACAAAGAGUUAUGUAUGGCUUAGAUAUUUUUUUAUGUUCAUAAUAAUUUUAGUCUAACUUGUAGCAUAGGGUGGAUUGGUCAUCUAGUUUCUCUUACUCCGUUAAAGACAAGUUGUACGUGAUUUAAAUAAAAAAUUCUUAAGACUUAUAUUUCUUGUGACCUACAACGAUGUGCGACAACAAAUAAAAGAAUAUAACGUACUUGAUUAAGUCCAAUUCAUUUAACUAUGUGUUUGGUAAAAAUGUGUAAAGUGCUUUUCAAUUUAAAAUGUAUCAAAAUGAUUUUUUUUAGUUUUUUAUUAACAUGUCAAAAUUCUUAAAAAAAAAACCCUAAAAAACAACAAAUUUGAUGUAUUUUCAGACAAAAAAACAAUUUGAAAAAAAGGUUGAACCACAAAAAUAAACACCUGAUUUUGAUUUAAAAAAUAAAAAUAAUUUAAUUAUUGAAAUUUUAUUACAAUUAACAUUAACAAAAAAACAAAAACUAAAAGAGGAGGGGGUUUUAUUGUACCUCUCUUCAGAAAUCAUUAUUCAUUGGAAUAAUGAUUUGUUACCUUCAUUUGGUUUCUUUUUUUCAAUUAAUAUGUUUUUAUUUAAUUCAAUUUCAUCAUUCAAUAUUAGGUUUAUUGAUGGAUUGAACUUUAUAAUUUUUCUCAUUUACUUUUUACGAGGUUAUCCCAGUCUCAUGACUCAAAUCGCAAAUUUGAUAGGUUAAAUCGAUUUACUUGAGUUUUUUUUCCCUUUACCUAAUUGAUUUUUUUUCUUAAUUUCAUCUUUCAACAUUGAGUUUCUUAGAAAUUAGGCUUCAUGUUUUUUCUUAUUUGCUUUCUAUGAGAUUAUCUCUAUCUUAUGACUCGAGUCAUGAGUUUGGUGUGUUAACAGGGAUUGACUCUAGUUAUUUUUCAUGUUUUUUUGUAAUAGAUUUUUUAAUUUCAAUUUCAUUCUUCACCAUUAGGUUUAUUAGGGAUUAGACUUCAUAAUUGUUUUUAAUUUAUAUUUAUGAGGUUAUCAUAAUCUCAUGACCCGAUCCACGAGUUUGAUGAGUUUACUCAGUUGACUCGAUAUUUUUUCCUUUUCCUAAUUAACUUUUUUCUCUCAAUUUCAUCUUUCAACAUUGGAUUGAUUGAAAAUUAGGCUUCGUGAUUUGUUUUAGUUUGCUUUCUAAGAGGUUAUUUCCAUCUCAUGACUCGGGUCACGAGUAAUAGAUUAACCCUAGUUUACUUAAGUUGUUUUUCGUAUCUUUUUUUUUAAUCAAUGUUUUUUUCAAUUUCAUUUUUUACACUGAAUUGAUUGAAAAUUAGAAUUCAUAAUUUAUUUCAAUUUUCUUUUUAUUAGGAGAUAACUCAAAUUGACUCGGGUCAUUUUUUUCUAUUUUUUUUUUAUUUUCAAUUUCAUCAUUCAACAUUAGAUUUAUUGGAAAUUAGAUUUCAUAAUUUGUUUUGAUUUACAUUCUAUGGGGUUAUCAUAGCCUCAUGACCCAACAUGUGAAUUGGUAUGUUAAUCUAGGUUGAUUUAACUCCAUCCGAUAUAUUAUCGUCUCAAUAUUUAUAAAAAAACUAUCAUCUUGAAUAUUUAUUUUGAGUCAAACUACUUUUUUACCGAUUAUCUAGGUUGUUUUUGAACUCGUCUAGUCAACCAGGUCAUAUUGAAACAAUCCCCGCAUGGUUUAAAAUAUUGUUUCCUACUAGAAAAAAUAUUAGCAAUGCCUAAGCAUUUUUAAUGUUAAUUUUUUUUUAAUCCGAUCAGUAACCGAUGAUCUAGUAUAUAUUAAAAUUCUUAUGUAAACUACUGUAGCAAUCCAUGGUCACUCAAUUUUUUUAUAUAUAAUUUUUCCCUUCAAUAUUUUUUUCAAUUGCAUUCCUCUAUGCCCAAAUUAAAGAUCGAUUUAAUCAAAUUUGUUAACGACAACAAGAAUUCAACAAAAGAGGACCAAAGUAUAAAAUAAGGAGAAAUUUCAUAGCUAAUCUCAAAAGAGGACCAAAGUAGUCCACCUAUUUUUCCUUUUCUUACUCUUCAGUCCCUUUAGUUUAUGCAAUUUUAAUUUUUAUCUAACAAUUCAUUUUCAUAACAAUACAGUUGCUGAGUUUGAGAGAGAAGUGAAAAAGUCGCUUGGAAAUGACAAGGAGAUAGAAAGUUAGCGAAUGACCAUUUUCAGCGAGGAAACUCACCAUUUUUUCUAUUUACAAAGUAUAUUCGACGAGUGGAGUCAAUGGUGGUGUUUGUUUUUCAAUAACAUNNNNNNNNNNNNNNNNNNNNNNNNNNNNNNNNNNNNNNNNNNNNNNNNNNNNNNNNNNNNNNNNNNNNNNNNNNNNNNNNNNNNNNNNNNNNNNNNNNNNGGGGGUACGUAAGUGAUUUAUGAGGUUUAUAUGGUGUUUUAUUAAGUGUUUUGGGUUAAAAAAUAUACUAAACAAAGAACUUGACACCCCUUUCCCCCCCUCCUAAUGAUUUAUUGACCACCACAAUCGUAGCUAGAUUUUGAACAGGAAGUCCAAGUAACAAGUCAUUUGCCACUACAAGUAACUUAUUGCCUAUUUAAUUAAAAAAAAAAAAAAAAGAGCAGACGACAUCUACUCUUGAGGCAAAUGUUUUUUUAAAAAGGCAUGCCCUAGGUUUUGAGGUUGAGGGGCCCAGACACACAUGGUCUUUCCUAUUAUUGUCUAUUUUUUUUUGUUUUUGUUAUUUUAUCCCUUUCCAUCAAUUAUUUCUAUUAAAUUAGCUUUGAUUUUAAAUAAUUAUUGAUUAUACAUAUACAUGUUUAUUUUAUAUAUUUUUUUAAAAAUUAAAUAAUAUUUUUGUUGAUCAUUCAAAUGAUUGCCGGCCGAAACCAAAAUGUCAAAUAACAACCAAAAAGAUUUGACUUUUUCGUAAGGGAUAUAGCUAAGCUGGAUGAUCUCCCACCAGCAGCCUCCUUCUGUGCUUUGUACUUAUCACCCAUACAACUUGUCUUCUAUUUUGGGUCGUCACACUUGAUCAGACCCUUCUACGAUUCCUUGCUUUUUUUUUUAAUGUUUUUUACAUACACCAAGCAUGUGGGUGUAUAAUCCAAUUAUGAAUCUAUUGUUGUGAUUGUUUGUUUAGAGUGUUUUUUAAUUAUUAUUUUUAUAAAACAAUAAAUUAAUGCUUCAUUAAAUAAAAUAAAAUAAAAAACAAUUCAUUUUGUGGGCACCUUAUAUUUUUUUUACCUAUCUUUUAGUUUAUUAUUUUAAAUUUUUUUCUACAAACUUUUAAAAUAUUCUUUUUUUACUAGAAGGUGUGUUUACAAUAGUUAUUUUUCUUAAUAGUUAUAAUAGAGUUUUUGAUAGAUAAAUAUUUCCAACACAAUGUUUAUUAGCAGAGAUACAUCUAAUUGGUUUUAUUUUGUUUUUAGAAGAAAUUAUUUUUGUAUAGUAGAGUUUACAGGUAUUAAUUAUAAAAAAACCUUAUUUAUUAUUAAUAAAUAUUUUAUUUCAUUGAAAGUAUAGAUGCACGUGAUUUUAAUCCUAUCUUAUUUCAAACAUAAUUAUUUUUACUUGUAGAGUUUGUAUAACAGCAAAACAUUUAUUUUCUUAUAAAAAUAAAGUUUGAUUUAUUUUUUUAAAUUUAAAUUUUAAAUUUGCCUCUGCCAAAUUUUUUUUUUUAAGUCACAGAUUCUCUAGGUUGUUCUAUUUUUUUUACUGUGCAAUUAAAAAAAACUUCAUGCUAGCAUUUAAAUAACAAUACUAUAAUAAUUUUGAAAAUAAAAUUAAUGCGACCCCACAAGUGGUGCAAAAGUAAAAGAGGUAGGGUAUAUUUAGGAGUGUGGUUGUGGUUAUUUUUUAAAAUGUUUUUUAUGCUGAAAUGCAUUAAAAUAAUAUUUUUUUUUAUUUUUAAAAAAUUAUUUUGAUAUCAGCGCAUUAAAACAAUCCAAAACAUAAAAAAAAUUAUUUUUUAGCAAAAAAAUUUAAAUUUUUUUAGAAAUAUAAAUACAACCACGUUUCCAAAUAAUCAAGUAGUCAUGGCAAUGAUGAUGAUAAAAUUGUUGCAGUGGAAAUAACGAUCUUGAUAGCUUUUAAAAAAAUUAACAACAUAUUAUUAUUUGUUUUGGAAAAAAAAAAGAAGAAAAAAAGCCUACGUGACUUGAGCAUCACCAUAAAUGGCAAUUAUGAAGAAAGUGAUGGCAAUAAGAGUAGUUGAGGUAGACGCUGUAUGAGUUGUUGUCUUUAUAAUAAUGCUGGUAAUUAAUCAAUUUUUGCGCUCGCCAAAAAAAAAAGAAAAAAGAAGAAGAAACAAAAAAUAACACCCAGGCGAGCUUGGACAGCCCAAGCACGUGCUCCUAGGGCCAUAUGUUAAGUACAGACAUGUUCUGUGCAGGCUGGUUGUGAGACCCAAUUUUUUAAAAAAGAAAAAACAAAAUUCUUAGAAUACCAGCCUUCUCAUUGUACAUACUAGGGGUUAUUAUUAUUUUUUUGUUUGGUUUGGUUUUUAUUUAAAAAAAUAAUUAAACUGAAUGAAUUGAAAUCGGUUCAAACCGAUCAGUUUUGAUUCGGUUCAGUUCGGUUAUUUUAGAACAAAAACCGAAACCCAACUGAUUGGUUUUGGUUCGAUUCGGUUAUUUUAUAUUAAAAAUAAAAAAAACUAUAUUGUUUUUAGGGGUUUUUUUUUGUAAUUUUUAAUGUGUUUGGUUUCGGUUUGGUUCGGUAGGGUACAAACAUAGAACAAGGGUGACACAACCUUGUGGAGGGGAAGCUCCUCUAUCUAAUGGUAGUGGUUGAAGCCCUUGAGAUGGUCAAUGAUGCCACAUUCAUUUGUCUAAAUAUAACAACUUGAUCAACCUUUUCUACUGAAAAAUCCAACAAAUAGAGAAAAACAAUGUGUCACUCUGUUUUUUCUUUUAAAAAAAGUGACAUGUCGUCUGCUUAAACCCUAAAAAUCUGGGUUUUCUAAUUGAGAUUUUGAUAACUUUUAAAUUGGUCCUUAUUGUUUCAAAUUAAGCUCAAACAUAUUUAAUUGAGACAAAACUAAUUAAUUUCAUACAAUUAGAGCCUUUUAAAAACCAAUUAAGACCCUUUAAAUCUGGCUUUAUUUUCAAAGUAGCCAUUGAUUUCUAAUUUGUUCAAUAUAGUUUAUAAUUAAGUCUUAAACUUUGAUUUUUUUCAAUUUAAUCCCUGGAAAAUUUUAGUACAGCCCCCAGUAUUAAGGGCUUUAUGCAGAAAGGUCUUUGGUCUUGAAUUUUUUCAAUUUGACACUUAAUUGACCUUUAAACUUUGAUUUUCUUACAAUUUCACCCUUGAUUCCAUCCAAUGAAGUUUGUAAAGAUUAAAUUUGGUCCUUUAAAAUUUCAAUAUUUUCAAUUAAGCCCAAAUUAGGUUUCCAAACUUAAUUCUUUGCCAAUUAAGUCCUUAAUAAAAUUAAUGUAAUCCAUUAAAAGUUUAAUUAAGUCCUUGCACUUUAUUAAUUCUUUUAAUUUUGGCAUAAAUUAAUUUAUAAACUUAAUUAAAUAUUUAAUUAGGUAAAUGAUUAAAUCAACUUAGCUUAUUAAAAAUCUAAUUAAGUCAUCGGAUUUGAUUUUUAUACAAAUUCGUCUAACAUUCACUUAAGUUAACCUUGAAUUUGCAUAGUAUUUCACAUUUAGAUUCUUAAAGGAUGCAAUUGAGUUUCCAAUAUUGUCGAAAAUCUAGUUCGGUCCCUCCAUCUCUUAUUUAUGCAUUUAGAUCCCUCUUCAACCUAUUCUUGCCAAUGAAGUUAUUUGUCUUCCUGUAUUUUAUUUUUUCUAUUAUUUUAUAAAAGAAAAGAAUAAUUUUAAAGGAAUUCAAAAUUAAUCAGACCUCCCUUGCCUAUCUACAAUCUUGCAAGGCAUGCAAUAUAUGUUCUUGAUGAAAAGCACGGUGACAAGUCACCAUGACUAACAUUAGAGUAUUUUACUUUCCACGUGAGAAGGAAUAACCCUAACCCUAAACCUAAAACACAACCAGCCAAGAAAAGCUCAUUUUCUAAAUGAAGUCUAUCUGGUAGAAGCAGACAAAGAUAGAAUAAAAUCAUCUGCUAAUAAUGAAUGAGAAAUUGCAAUACCUCCACGGGAAACCGGGAGAGGGUUCCACAAUCCACCUACAACUCUACUAUCGAUGAGCAUAGAUAACUUCGCCAUGGGAAGAUAAACAUAUAAGGCGAAAGAAGAUCUACUUGACAUAACCAAAAUCCACCAACGUUUUCUGCAGAAAUCCCCAAGUCAACUCGAUCAUAAGCCUUCACAAGAUCAAUCUUGUAAGCUAGAAACCCUGUCCGCUUUUUAGAUUUUCGAAUAGGAUGCACCAAUUCUUAUGCUAGAAUAACAUUAUCCGCAACUCCUCUACCUACAAGAAACGACCCUUGCAUCGGGCAAAUAAGAGUAUCCAAAAAAAAGGGCGAAGCCGCUACUCUAAAACUUCGGUCAAAACUUUAUAAGAUACAUUACAAAGGUUGAUAGGGCGGAAUUGCUUCAUGUUCACUGGAUUAUCUACCUUGGGAAUAAGAACAGCACAAGUUUCCACUAAUUUAGGUGGAACACCUAGUAGAAAAUAGAUAAACCAGCUUCAAAACCGAAUCUCACACAAUAUGCCAUUACUUUCGUAUAGACUUGGAGCUUUAUAAGGCUUCAUGGAUUUCAUAGCACGAUAAAAACCUCUUUCUUUAGUAAUAGGUUUCAGGAGGCAUUCAACUAGAUCCUGAGCAAGACAUGAAUGCCCCUGUAGCUGCGGAAAAGAAAUAGUAGUGGCAUCAGCGCUACAAAAGAGAGCUCUGUAGAAAUUCAAUACCUCGAUUUCAGUUCCUUCACAUCUGAAAUCCAAGAAUCAUCUGCAUGUCUCUGCCUUUCAAUUCAAUUAUACUGCCUUCUGCAUAAGGUGGUAGCAUGAAAGAAACGGGCGCACUUAUCGCCAUACUAAAGCCAUGCACUCUAGAUUUUUAUACCAGAACAUGGAUUAUUAUCUGAGAACAUCAUUAUAUUUUUUUCACUGAGGAAUGCUCAAGUUUGGAUAAGAACUAGGAAUUAAAAGCAACAAUUGAACAUUGAGUCCCUGCAAUCAGCGCAAGCACUCUCUUUUUCCUGCAGAAGAUAUUUCCAAAGACAUCAGUAUUAAACUCAAGAGUAGCUGACUUGAUUUGAGAAAGGAUAUCAAAGAUAGGACCAAUAGUAAUUACUCAAACAUCCUUCACAACCUUGUGAAAUCCUGAUGCAUGAUCCAUACGCUGCCUGAAAAAAAGGUCCAUCAGACAUGGGAGGGGAAUACCUAUGAUAUCUGAGAAGAAAAGCAUUAUGAUCAAAGUGUAUCUGCAGCAAGUGAUGGGUAGAAGCUUCAGGAAACUACAUUCGCCAUUCUGAAUUACACAAUGCUCUAUCCAGUCUCACUAAUAUAGAAAUACAACUGAACUGUUUAUAUAUAUAUAUAUAUAUAUAAACAUGAGUCAAGUAAAUCACACUUGUCUAUAGAGGCCCUAAACUUCCUUGCUCUAGUCAAAUAGAAUUUCCCACCAAAAUUUUCUGAUUGGGAGGAAUAAUCAUAAUCACCAAUCAGGACCCAAAGUAGAGAAAUAAACCCAUGCAGUUUCACCAUUGCAUCAUAGGGUACACCUCCCUUCCAUGAGCACUCGAGCUAGUAUAAUAGCUAUAAAAUAUCGACACACCUCAUUAUACUUCACUAACAUAUGAAUGUGCUGAUGAUGAGACCUUGCAUCAAGAGAGAUAUAUAAAACCUAGGAGCGAGGCUUAUUGCAAAUGGACAAGUCUUUCUACAAGAGAAGAUAUGGUACAAAAGAUAUCACAAAUGAAAAAAAAGAAAAGAAAAGAAAAGAUGGCUCUUUCAAAAGGUAUUUUUUGAAAUGGUAUUUUUUUUAUUUGAAAUUAUUGUAGCAAAUUAAAGGGUAUUUUUAUUUAUUUGUGUUUAUCUAUUUUUUAUGAUUUGAAUCCCAUUUAAAAUUCAAUUCCAUGAGUUAAAUCAAUCUUUUUUUAGCUUGAAACCCUUCCCUUCAAAUUAGCAUUAAAAAUAAUAUUUUAUUUUAAUUUCAUCAUUCAGUAUUUGAUUGAUUGUAAAUUGAUCUUCGUAUUUUUUCAAUUUUUUUUUCUAUGAGGUUAUCCUAAUAUUAUAUCUAUAAUCGCAGGGUUAGCUGAUUAACCUAUUUUAACUCAUCUAUUUUUGUUUUUUUUGUAAAAAAAAUUGUUUUUUUAGUUUCUCCUUUAUAAAAAUUAUUUAGAUUUCAGAAUAAUAACAUAUCAUCAUCUUAUAUGGCAUCAACAAAAUUAAGAUAAAAUCAUGGAAACUCUAAAAAAAUAUAUAAAUUUACAAAACUCUAGAAUGUGGAUAUACAAAAGAUUAUAAACAAGUCUUGAAUUACAAUUAUAGCCACGCUAGGAAGUGGACAACGUGAUGAUAAAUAAUUCUAUCUUUUGCGCUUCUUUCCUAAUAACGCCACCAUUUGAAAAAUACAUUAAGGUCUGAGAUUGGUCUAAUUUUCCAUACACCAGCCAUGAUUUAGCUAAAUUAAUUAAUUUAAUUUGAAUUAAUAUGUGACAUUUUUUAUUUUAAAUGGUUAUACAAGAGUUAAUUAUAACUUAAUUCCCUUUGUUUAUUACUCGGAUCUUGUGAUUUUGAAAACUAUUAUUUUAUGCUGAUACUUUUAUAAAAUCCAUUGAAGAAAAAGAAAAGAGAAGGAUGUAAGAUUGGAAAUUUUGAUUGGAAAAGGAUGGAAAAUAAAACUACUAAAUUAAGUGUGAUCAAUGUUGAUGAAACAACCAUUCUAAUAUUGUAGAAAAAAGCAAAAGGUAUCAGAAAAACACAUUGUUCCAAGACAUAAUGAACUUUGAAUUUACAGUGUUUUCUUUUUCCUCUUUUUAUUUCAUUUUAUUCCAUAAUCUUUUUAACGUCAUCUUUCUACACUCNNNNNNNNNNNNNNNNNNNNNNNNNNNNNNNNNNNNNNNNNNNNNNNNNNNNNNNNNNNNNNNNNNNNNNNNNNNNNNNNNNNNNNNNNNNNNNNNNNNNUAUAUAUAUAUAUAUAUAUAUAUAUAUAUAUAUAUAUAUAUAUAUAUAUAUAUAUGAAACAGAAGAUGAUUGUAACAACAUGUAAUCUUCUCUUCUUUCUUUUUUUUAUCAAGAACAAGAUAGAUAAAAAAUGUUGAUCAAGAAUUUCAAGACAUUGAUAAGGUACUUCUUGUUUUAUGUUUUGUUGUUUACAGAGGCUACUAUAGGUGUAGUAGUUCAAAGGGCUGUCCAGCUAGAAAACAAGUAGAGAGGAGUAAAGUGGACCCAACAAUGCUAGUUAUCACCUACUCCUGUGAACACAACCACCCUUGGCCACCUCCUUCUAGAUCCCACAACCACCAUAAGAACCACCAUAACUCCUCCUCUCCAAAACACAACACUACCACCAAACCCGAAGUCUCCACAACCCAUCCUGAUAACCCAGAGCCUGAGCAUG
RNAcentral lists this long non-coding RNA (25214 nucleotides) under Populus trichocarpa (black cottonwood). Its description in RNAcentral is "long non-coding RNA (PTRI_LNC002718)". The record is from RNAcentral. Lineage: Eukaryota; Viridiplantae; Streptophyta; Magnoliopsida; Malpighiales; Salicaceae.